Molecule: ribosomal RNA, 770 nt
Filed under: uncultured bacterium
Lineage: Bacteria
Description: bacterial SSU rRNA
Rfam family: Archaeal small subunit ribosomal RNA
Source: RNAcentral
CGUAGGAUGGCGGGGGUAGUAAGCGGGGGGCAAGUCCGGUGUCAGCCGCCGCGGUAAUACCGGCCCCGCGAGUGGUCGGGGUGAUUAUUGGGCCUAAAGCGCCCGUAGCCGGCCCGGUAAGUCUCCCCUAAAAUCCCCGGGCUCAACCCGGGGAUUGGGGGAGAUACUGCCGGGCUAGGGGGCGGGAGAGGCCGAGGGUACUCCCGGGGUAGGGGCGAAAUCCGUUAAUCCCGGGAGGACCACCCGUGGCGAAGGCGCUCGGCUGGAACGCGCCCGACGGUGAGGGGCGAAAGCCGGGGGAGCGAACCGGAUUAGAUACCCGGGUAGUCCCGGCUGUAAACGAUGCGGGCUAGCUGUUGGGUGGGCUUAGAGCCCACCCAGUGGCGCAGGGAAGCCGUUAAGCCCGCCGCCUGGGGAGUACGGCCGCAAGGCUGAAACUCAAAGGAAUUGGCGGGGGAGCACCACAAGGGGUGGAGCCUGCGGUUCAAUUGGAGUCAACGCCGGGAAUCUUACCGGGGGAGACAGCAGGAUGACGGCCAGGUUAAAGGCCUUGCCCGACGCGCUGAGAGGAGGUGCAUGGCCGUCGCCAGCUCGUGUCGUGAGAUGUCUGGUUAAGUCCAGCAACGAGCGAGACCCCCACCCCCAGUUGCUACCCCGGCCUCAGGGCCGGGGGCACACUGGGGGGACUGCCGCCGUUUAAGGCGGAGGAAGGAGGGGGCCACGGCAGGUCAGCAUGCCCCGAAUCCCCCGGGCUACACGCGGGCUACAAU